AUACGGAGGGUGCAAGCGUUAAUCGGAAUUACUGGGCGUAAAGCGCGCGUAGGCGGUUUGAUAAGUCGGAUGUGAAAGCCCUGGGCUCAACCUGGGAACUGCAUUCGAUACUGUCUAACUAGAGUAUGGUAGAGGGAAGUGGAAUUCCGGGUGUAGCGGUGAAAUGCGUAGAUAUCCGGAGGAACAUCAGUGGCGAAGGCGACUUCCUGGACCAAUACUGACGCUGAGGUGCGAAAGCGUGGGGAGCAAACAGGAUUAGAAACCCUAGUAGUCC
Molecule: ribosomal RNA, 274 nt
Filed under: uncultured bacterium
Lineage: Bacteria
Description: partial 16S ribosomal RNA
Rfam family: Bacterial small subunit ribosomal RNA
Source: RNAcentral